AUUGAACGCUGGCGGCAGGCCUAACACAUGCAAGUCGAGCGGAUGAAGGGAGCUUGCUCCUGGCUUCAGCGGCGGACGGGUGAGUAAUGCCUAGGAAUCUGCCUGGUAGUGGGGGAUAACGUCCGGAAACGGGCGCUAAUACCGCAUACGUCCUGUGGGAGAAAGUGGGGGAUCUUCGGACCUCACGCUAUCAGAUGAGCCUAGGUCGGAUUAGCUAGUUGGUGGGGUAAAGGCCUACCAAGGCGACGAUCCGUAACUGGUCUGAGAGGAUGAUCAGUCACACUGGAACUGAGACACGGUCCAGACUCCUACGGGAGGCAGCAGUGGGGAAUAUUGGACGAUGGGCGGAAUCCUGAUCCAGCCAUGCCGCGUGGGUGAAGAAGGUCUUCGGAUUGUAUAGCACUUUUAGUUGGGAGGAAGGGCAGUAAGUGAAUACCUUGCUGUUUUGACGUUACCAACAGAAUAAGCACCGGCUAACUACGUG
RNAcentral lists this ribosomal RNA (484 nucleotides) under uncultured bacterium. Its description in RNAcentral is "partial 16S ribosomal RNA". It matches the Rfam family "Bacterial small subunit ribosomal RNA", at positions 30 to 507 of the family's 1533-position model. The record is from RNAcentral.